This 213-nucleotide long non-coding RNA is filed under the name Mytilus galloprovincialis (Mediterranean mussel). The record is from RNAcentral. Lineage: Eukaryota; Metazoa; Mollusca; Bivalvia; Mytilida; Mytilidae.
AACGGUUCAUGAGUAAAUGCACGGACACAACAUUUUUUAAACUUUCAAGAACCGUAACUCCUGAACGGUAAAAGUCAAAAUCGUCAUUAUUGAACUUGACCUCCAUUUUGUUGUCAGUAACAACAUAUUAAAAUUUUAAAAGGUUUAGUUGAACGCUUCAUGAGUAAUGCAUGGCCAACAUUUGGUUGCCGCCCGCCCGCCGUACAUCCCCAA